GAGCGGGCAUAGUUUUUAGUGAGAUCUUCUAAAUGACACUUCUACAUGUUCUCACACAAAAACACAGAUAGAGAAACAUGAAGAACUACUAAGAUAAAAAACAUGGAGAAGAACUUGUUGACACUCUACUUGUUGACAUACGUUUGAGCCGCAUCAAAUUCCACCGAGUAGAGCCUCUCAAGCCCACGGUUCCUCCCAAAGUUGACGCGCUGUGCAGACACCUCGAUGCUGCUCCGUCCAAAGUACAUUGUCACGGCCACCUGGCGACUCGUCCCCAGCUCUAGAUCCUCGUUUAUGUCUAUGCUGUAGCUGUCGAGCACGGCACAGCCUUCGUCGACAGUGUACUCUGGAAUCUUGCUGCUGCUCGAGAUGAGUAAGUAUCCUCAAGGCUUUCUGGUCAGUGUACAUGGGAAAGAACGAGUGCGUGAUCUCCUGGUUCUCCGAG
This 445-nucleotide long non-coding RNA is filed under the name Selaginella moellendorffii. Its description in RNAcentral is "long non-coding RNA (SMOE_LNC002211)". Lineage: Eukaryota; Viridiplantae; Streptophyta; Lycopodiopsida; Selaginellales; Selaginellaceae. The record is from RNAcentral.